AGCGGGAUGGAGAAAUGGUAACUCGUUAGGCUCAUGCCCUAAAGAUGGUUGUUCAAAUCAACCUCCCGUUA
RNAcentral lists this transfer RNA (71 nucleotides) under Mesostigma viride. Its description in RNAcentral is "tRNA-Met". It matches the Rfam family "tRNA". From Rfam's summary of the family: Transfer RNA (tRNA) molecules are approximately 80 nucleotides in length. Lineage: Eukaryota; Viridiplantae; Streptophyta; Mesostigmatophyceae; Mesostigmatales; Mesostigmataceae. The record is from RNAcentral.